CCCUAUUCCCUGGGCCCACCACCAAACAGACGUUUGGUUGGGUGUAAUCGUAUUACACCCCUAUUCCCUUCCCUCUCUAUUACUGAUACUGGCCGUAAUAGCCAUUCUGAGUUUGAAGCGGGUAAUAAGGAAUCCCCAUCAAUUCCCAAUUUUAUUUUCCAUUUUCUGCCCUCAUCCUCUCCCAACGUUUCCCAAUUUUUUCUUUUCUAGAUUUCUACUUCUUCUUCUGAUAAUGGUAUCAAGGCACCAAAGAAACAAGAUGGACUAGAAGGAGGUGGAAAUUCAAAGA
Molecule: long non-coding RNA, 289 nt
Organism: Gossypium raimondii (Peruvian cotton)
Lineage: Eukaryota; Viridiplantae; Streptophyta; Magnoliopsida; Malvales; Malvaceae
Exons: 2
Source: RefSeq, a predicted model, not a curated record